CCUUGAUGACGACUGGCGCACGGGUGAGUAACGCGUAUCCAACCUUCCCAUAACUACGGGAUAACCCGUUGAAAGACGGCCUAAUACCGUAUGAUAUCGUUUGCUGACAUCAAAUAACGAUUAAAGGUUUAGCGGUUAUGGAUGGGGAUGCGUCUGAUUAGCUUGUUGGCGGGGUAACGGCCCACCAAGGCAACGAUCGGUAGGGGUUCUGAGAGGAAGGUCCCCCACAUUGGAACUGAGACACGGUCCAAACUCCUACGGGAGGCAGCAGC
This 272-nucleotide ribosomal RNA is filed under the name uncultured Prevotella sp. Its description in RNAcentral is "partial 16S ribosomal RNA". It matches the Rfam family "Bacterial small subunit ribosomal RNA", at positions 83 to 355 of the family's 1533-position model. Lineage: Bacteria; Pseudomonadati; Bacteroidota; Bacteroidia; Bacteroidales; Prevotellaceae. The record is from RNAcentral.